AACGAACGCUGGCGGCGUGCUUAACACAUGCAAGUCGAACGUGAUCUAACCUUCGGGUUAGUGAAAGUGGCGCACGGGUGAGUAACGCGUGGAUAAUCUGCCUUUUAGUUGGGAAUAACGUACCGAAAGGUGCGCUAAUACCGGAUAAUACUGAGUGACUACUGUUGCUUAGUCAAAGAAGGCCUCUGUUUACAAGCUUUUGCUGAAAGAUGAGUCCGCGUACCAUUAGCUAGUUGGUCGGGUAAUGGCCUACCAAGGCUACGAUGGUUAGCUGGUCUGAGAGGAUGAUCAGCCACACUGGAACUGAGACACGGUCCAGACUCCUACGGGAGGCAGCAUG
Molecule: ribosomal RNA, 340 nt
Filed under: uncultured bacterium
Lineage: Bacteria
Description: bacterial SSU rRNA
Rfam family: Bacterial small subunit ribosomal RNA
Source: RNAcentral